RNAcentral lists this transfer RNA (64 nucleotides) under Metrocoris sp. XD-2019. RNAcentral's name for it is "tRNA-Ile". The record is from RNAcentral. Lineage: Eukaryota; Metazoa; Arthropoda; Insecta; Hemiptera; Gerridae.
AAUAAGAUGCCUGAUUAAAGGGCUAUUUUGAUAGAAUAGAUAAUGUAAUUAAUUACUCUUAUUA